AACGCACGAGACCUGCGGACCUGCGGAAGGAUCAUUACCGAGUUAUCCAACUCCCAACCCCUGUGAAUCAUACCUUUAAUUGUUGCUUCGGCGGGACUUCGCGCCCGCCGGGGACCCAAACCUUCUGAAUUUUUUAAUAAGUAUCUUCUGAGUGGUUAAAAAAAUGAAUCAAAACUUUUAACAACGGAUCUCU
RNAcentral lists this unclassified non-coding RNA (193 nucleotides) under soil metagenome. RNAcentral's name for it is "partial contains 5.8S ribosomal RNA, internal transcribed spacer 2, and large subunit ribosomal RNA". The record is from RNAcentral.